Molecule: long non-coding RNA, 86 nt
Organism: Maniola jurtina (meadow brown)
Lineage: Eukaryota; Metazoa; Arthropoda; Insecta; Lepidoptera; Nymphalidae
Exons: 3
Source: RefSeq, a predicted model, not a curated record
GUAUGAUUUGUUUUGUUGCUCUCCCGUUCGGGUAUACUCGUCUGUUAAGUCCACCUGAUUCUUCGUCCGAUGAAACUGAACCGAUU